AUUGAACGCUAGCGGGAUGCCUUACACAUGCAAGUCGAACGGCUUGGCGAACGGGUGAGUAAUGUAUCGGUACGUGCCCAGUAGCGGUGGAUAACUACGCGAAAGCGUAGCUAAUACCGCACACUAUUGGAGCGGCCGAUAUCGGAUUAGCUAGGUGGUGGGGUAACGGCUCACCAAGGCGACGAUCCGUAGCUGGUGUGAGAGGACGACCAGCCACACUGGAACUGAGACACGGCCCAGACUCCUACGGGAGGCAGCAGUGGGGAAUUUUGGACAAUGGGGGAAACCCUGAUCCAGCCAUCCCGCGUGUGCGAUGAAGGCCUUCGGGUUGUAAAGUACUUUUAGCAGGAAAGCGGUACCUGCAGAAUAAGCACCGGCUAACUCCGUGCCAGCAGCCGCGGUAAUAC
This 407-nucleotide ribosomal RNA is filed under the name uncultured bacterium. RNAcentral's name for it is "partial 16S ribosomal RNA". It matches the Rfam family "Bacterial small subunit ribosomal RNA", at positions 30 to 526 of the family's 1533-position model. The record is from RNAcentral.